Molecule: ribosomal RNA, 468 nt
Filed under: uncultured bacterium
Lineage: Bacteria
Description: partial 16S ribosomal RNA
Rfam family: Bacterial small subunit ribosomal RNA
Source: RNAcentral
GACGAACGCUGGCGGCGUGCUUAACACAUGCGAGUCGAACGGAAAGGCCCUGCUUUUGUGGGGUGCUCGAGUGGCGAACGGGUGAGUAACACGUGAGUAACCUGCCCUUGACUUUGGGAUAACUUCAGGAAACUGGGGCUAAUACCGGAUAGGAGCUCCUGUUGCAUGGUGGGGGUUGGAAAGUUUCGGCGGUUGGGGAUGGACUCGCGGCUUAUCAGCUUGUUGGUGGGGUAGUGGCUUACCAAGGCUUUGACGGGUAGCCGGCCUGGGAGGGUGACCGGCCACAUUGGGACUGAGAUACGGCCCAGACUCCUACGGGAGGCAGCAGUGGGGAAUAUUGCACAAUGGGCGGAAGCCUGAUGCAGCAACGCCGCGUGCGGGAUGACGGCCUUCGGGUUGUAAACCGCUUUCGCCUGUGACGAAGCGUGAGUGACGGUAAUGGGUAAAGAAGCACCGGCUAACUACGUG